UACGGGGGGGGCAAGCGUUGUCCGGAAUCAUUGGGCGUAAAGAGCGCGUAGGCGGCUAGAUAAGUCCGGUGUGAAAGUCACAGGCUCAACCUGUGAAUGCCGCUGGAAACUGUCUGGCUAGAGUCCGGAAGGGGCGAGUGGAAUUCCUGGUGUAGCGGUGAAAUGCGCAGAUAUCAGGAGGAACACCAAUGGCGAAGGCAGCUCGCUGGGACGGUACUGACGCUGAGGCGCGAAAGCGUGGGGAGCAAACAGG
This 253-nucleotide ribosomal RNA is filed under the name uncultured bacterium. RNAcentral's name for it is "partial 16S ribosomal RNA". It matches the Rfam family "Bacterial small subunit ribosomal RNA", at positions 524 to 776 of the family's 1533-position model. The record is from RNAcentral.